GCCUGUAUGCAGCCAUGUCCGCGUGUGUGAAGAAGGCCUUCGGGUUGUAAAGCACUUUCAGUCGUGAGGAAGGUGGUGGUGUUAAUAGCACUAUUAUUUGACGUUAGCGACAGAAGAAGCACCGGCUAACUCCGUGCCAGCAGCCGCGGUAAUACGGAGGGUGCGAGCGUUAAUCGGAAUUACUGGGCGUAAAGCGCAUGCAGGUGGUUUGUUAAGUCAGAUGUGAAAGCCCGGGGCUCAACCUCGGAAUUGCAUUUGAAACUGGCAGACUAGAGUACUGUAGAGGGGGGUAGAAUUUCAGGUGUAGCGGUGAAAUGCGUAGAGAUCUGAAGGAAUACCGGUGGCGAAGGCGGCCCCCUGGACAGAUACUGACACUCAGAUGCGAAAGCGUGGGGAGCAAACAGGAUUAGAUACCCUGGUAGUCCACGCCGC
Molecule: ribosomal RNA, 432 nt
Filed under: Vibrio sp. enrichment culture DGGE band 41
Lineage: Bacteria; Pseudomonadati; Pseudomonadota; Gammaproteobacteria; Vibrionales; Vibrionaceae
Description: bacterial SSU rRNA
Rfam family: Bacterial small subunit ribosomal RNA
Source: RNAcentral